GCUGAGGUGGCGGAAUUGGCAUACGCGCACGUUUGAGGGGCGUGUCUUUAAUAGGGGUGCGGGUUCGAGUCCCGCUCUCAGCA
Molecule: transfer RNA, 83 nt
Filed under: Endomicrobium sp.
Lineage: Bacteria; Pseudomonadati; Elusimicrobiota; Endomicrobiia; Endomicrobiales; Endomicrobiaceae
Description: tRNA-Leu
Rfam family: tRNA
About the family: Transfer RNA (tRNA) molecules are approximately 80 nucleotides in length.
Source: RNAcentral